GGGUGAGUAACACGUGGGUGAUCUGCCCCAAACUUUGGGAUAAGCCUGGGAAACUGGGUCUAAUACCGAAUAUGACUGAUACUCGCAUGGGUGUUGGUGGAAAGCUCCGGCGGUUUGGGAUGGGCCCGCGGCCUAUCAGCUUGUUGGUGGGGUAAUGGCCUACCAAGGCGACGACGGGUAGCCGGCCUGAGAGGGCGACCGGCCACACUGGGACUGAGACACGGCCCAGACUCCUACGGGAGGCAGCAGUGGGGAAUAUUGCACAAUGGGCGCAAGCCUGAUGCAGCGACGCCGCGUGAGGGAUGACGGCCUUCGGGUUGUAAACCUCUUUCACCAGGGGCGAAGCGAAAGGACGGUACCUGGAGAAGAAGCACCGGCCAACUACGUGCC
RNAcentral lists this ribosomal RNA (390 nucleotides) under uncultured bacterium. RNAcentral describes it as "bacterial SSU rRNA". It matches the Rfam family "Bacterial small subunit ribosomal RNA", at positions 104 to 509 of the family's 1533-position model. The record is from RNAcentral.